AUUGAACGCUGGCGGCAUGCUUUACACAUGCAAGUCGAACGGUAACAGGCCGCAAGGUGCUGACGAGUGGCGGCCGGGUGCGUAAUGCAUCGGAACGUGCCCAGUCGUGGGGGUUAACUGCUCGAAAGAGUAGCUAAUACCGCAUACGAUCUAUGACUGCCAGCGGGGGACCGUAAGGCAUCGCGCGAUUGGAGCGGCCGAUGUCAGAUUAGGUAGUUGGUGGGGUAAAGGCUCACCAAGCCAACGAUCUGUAGCUGGUCUGAGAGGACGACCAGCCACACUGGAACUGAGACACGGCCCAGACUCCUACGGGAGGCAGCAGUGGGGAAUAUUGGACAAUGGGCGCAAGCCUGAUCCAGCAAUGCCGCGUGCGGGAAGAAGGCCUUCGGGUUGUAAAGUGCUUUUGUAGGGAAAGAAACGCAUCUGGUUAAUACCCGGGGCUAAUGACGGUACCGAAAGAAUAAGCACCGGCUAACUACGUG
Molecule: ribosomal RNA, 482 nt
Filed under: uncultured bacterium
Lineage: Bacteria
Description: partial 16S ribosomal RNA
Rfam family: Bacterial small subunit ribosomal RNA
Source: RNAcentral